AGGUCCUACCCACGAGCAGGAGAACCCGCUGAACUUAAGCAUAUCAUUAAGCGGAGGAAAAGAAACUAACCAGGAUUCCCUUAGUAACGGCGAGCGAACCGGGAGUAGCCCAACCACGAAGCGCAUUGAACCUGAGCCAAGGGAGGCCAGGUUCUAGUGCAUUGUAGGGUAAAAGGAAAACGGAGUGGUGAAUCCGAUGGGUGUAUUCCUAGCUAAAGGGAAACCCUAUACCCGCACGUGUCUGAAGAGGAACUGGAAUGUCCCACCAGAGAGAGUGAGAGUCUCGUAAGUCACGCGCGGGUUGGGUCCAAUACCCUUUACCAGGGCCCGGAUGAUCCACCAAUUCCUGAGAGUCGGGUUGCUUGAGAGUGCAGCCUGAAGCGGGUGGUAGACCCCAUCCAAGGCUAAAUACAACCGGGAGACCGAUAGCGAACAAGUACCGCGAGGGAAAGAUGAAAGAGCACCCCGGAAGGGGAGUGAAAUGAGAACCUGAAAUCAUUAGGGUGGAAGCAUCUGGGGGUGCGAUGUGGGGAUGGUUAUAAGCCAGUUCCUUUGAUCGAUCCCAGCCGCGCAUCGCACGAGACAGGUCCGACACGGAUCUGAAACGAAUCUCGUGACACGAUGAGGGGCUGUGUAGAUAGAGACAGAGUCAGGCAUGUCCUGCAUGACCUGAUCACGAGGAUCGAUCCAACAUCCUCCGAUGACCCGUCUUGAAACACGGACCAAGGAGUCUGGCAGGUCUGCGAGUCAGUGUGCGGCGAGCCACACGGGCGUAAGAAACCUGACCAGGGGUUGGACACAUGGACCAUGCCGAACUGAGGCACGGUCCAUGUGUCCAACCUUGACCGGUCGCCCUAUACGCGGAGCCUUAUUACCGCUGAUGCAUCCCGGUAUAGCCAUACCGGGCUCGCUGCGGAAGUGCGCAGUCAUGCGUUUGAGAGCUUCGCGUCUGAGCGAUCCGGUGGAGCAGGCCUCCCAGGACCCGAAAGGUGGUGAUCUAGGCCUGGGCAGGGCGAAGCCUGGCUAACGCUUGGUGGAGGCCCGAAGGAGUGCUGACGUGCAAAUCGCUUCUCUGACCUGGGCCUAGUGGCGAAAGACCAAUCGAACCACCUAGUAGCUGGUUCCCUCCGAAGUUUCUCACAGGAUAGCUGAGACUCGAUCGGGUGUGUCAAGUAAAGCGACUGAUUACGAGUGACGGGCGUGGAUAGAUGUUCGACUCGUUCUCAAACUCUGAAUUGGCACGGCGCCUCCUUGCUUGGAUGAAGGGGUAAGCGCGACCGAGAGUCUCAAGUGGGCCAGUUUUGGUAAGCAGAGCUGGCGAUGCGGGAUGAACCGAGUGUCGAGUUAAAGUGUCCAACUACACGCUCACCUAGAUCCCAGGAAGGGUGUCAGCUGAUACUGACAGCGGGGCGGUGGUCAUAGAAGUCGAAAUCCGCUAAGGAGUGUGUUACAACUCACCUGCCGAACCAGUAGGCCCCGAAAAUGGAUGACGCUCAAGCGUGUGACUUAGACUCGACCGUGAGCGCGAACGUUGCUCUCACGGGUAGGAGGGCGUGGGUGUUGCUUCGAAGCCAUGGCGUAAGCCUCGGUGGAGCGGCGCCUAGUGCAGAUCUUGGUGGGAGUAGCGAAUAUUCAAAUGAGAACUUUGAAGACUGAAGUGGAGAAGGGUUCCGCGGGAACAGCGUUUGGCCGCGGGUGAGUCGAUCCUAAGGAUUAGGGUAGCGCCGUAGCAUCCUCAUCGAAAGGGAAAAGGGUUAAUAUUCCCUUACCUUGGAGGGAUCCGAAGGCGGCAACGCAAGCGAGCUCGCAGACGCUCGCCUUGAUCCCGGGAGGAGGUCUCUACUCCUCUUGAUGCUUGUGGGGGCUUGGAGCAGGGUCAACUGGAGAAGGGGCUCCACAAGCGGCACAGCCCUGUUCGAAACACGGGGUCCGGUGCAUCAGGGCGGGCCCAUGAAAAUGCGAGGGAGCGACAAGGAUGCACCUCCCAAGGUCGUACCCAUAACCGCAUCAGGUCUCCAAGGUGAGCAGCCUCUAGUCGAUAGAGAAAGGUAGGUAAGGGAAUUCGGCAAAUUAGAUCUGUAACUUCGGGAUAAGGAUUGGCUUCGAUCGUUACCCCCCUGGGUAUCGCUGCGGAAGUGCGCAGUGAAGUUUCGCGUGGCGGAGACCCGACGGCCUACACAAAAUACGAGAUCUAUACACAUCCCACAGCGGGUGCAACUCCCCGAUCCAAGGAUGUGUGUCUGUAUACUAAUGGACGGUCUUUGUGUGGCGGGUGUCGUGUCAGGGGUCACCGAGGAACGAUACUGAUACCUGGGGGAGGUUGACUCAAUUGAAACUGGCGCGGACCAAGGGAAUCCGACUGUCUACUAAAAACACAGCAUUGCGAUGGUCCCCGCGGAUGUUGACGCAAUGUGAAUCCUGCCCAGUGCUCAGACUGUCAAGACGGAGAGAUUCGACGAAGCACGGGUAAACGGCGGGAGUAACUAUGACUCUCUUAAGGUAGCUAAAUGCCUCGUCAUCUAAUUAGUGACGUGCAUGAAUGGAGCAACGAGAUUCCUACUGUCCCUACCUACCCUCUAGCGAAACCACAGCCAAGGGAACGGGCUUGGGAGAAACAGCGGGGAAAGAAGACCCUGUUGAGCUUGACUCUAUCCUGGGGUUGUUGGGCGACUUAGGAGGUGUAGCAUAGGUGGGAGCUUCCGAGCGUCACUGAAAUACCACCACUCCCAAGAUCGUCCUGCUGAUCUUGUUAUGGUAAGCGUGCAUGGACCCACUCCCGUGGCGUGGUUUGUGCGCGGCAGGCAUACUCGAGUAAGUGUAGGAUCCGCGCGAUUCCUCGCUUGCUUGGCUUCUUACGCACGAGAGACACCCCCAGGUGGGGAGUUCGGCUGGGGCGGUACACCCGUCAAAAGACAACGCGGGUGUCCUAUGGUCAGCUCAACGAGGACAGAACUCUCGUGUGGUGUAGUUAAGGGUAGAAGCUGACUUGAUUCGGGCUCUCAGUAGGAGCUUGAGCUGCGAAAGCAUGGCCUACCGAUCCUUUAGCCUUCUGGGUGUGAAGCUAGAGGUGUCAGAAAAGUUACCACAGGGAUAAUUGGUUUGUGGCAGCCAAGCGUUCAUAGCGACGUUGCUUUUUGAUUCUUCGAUGUCGGCUCUUCCUAUCAUUGUGAAGCAGGAUUCACAAAGCGUUGGAUUGUUCACCCACAGACAGGGAACGUGAGCUGGGUUUAGACCGUCGUGAGACAGGUUAGUUUUACCCUACUGUUGUGAGGGGCCGGUGUGAUGGUAAUGGAGCUUAGUACGAGAGGAACGGUUCGAUCGGAUACUUGGUAACGCGCUCGAUGGAGCCGUCGAUGGCGCGAGGCUACAUCCGUGGGGUAAUGGCUGACAGCCUCUCAAGCCAGAACCCUUGCCAGAGACACGGCCAGGCGAGAGGAACGCGGCCGGCCAAGACAAGCCUCUGCGCGAAGCGGAGGAAGAAGGCCUUAUGUACCCCUUAGAGGGCACAGAACUGACGCGCCCGAGCCUCAGAUCAUUCUGGGGCAAGACCUCCGCCAAGGACCCACUGUAGACGACCGUGCUAAAGAGGAACGGGGUGCUGGAAGCGAGAGAGUGCAAACGCGUGAUCCGUGCAGGCCUACCCCCGGUUCACUAGGUCCUCCGGAAUAA
This 3669-nucleotide ribosomal RNA is filed under the name Bigelowiella natans. Its description in RNAcentral is "LSU rRNA". It matches the Rfam family "Eukaryotic large subunit ribosomal RNA". Lineage: Eukaryota; Cercozoa; Chlorarachniophyceae. The record is from RNAcentral.